UAUAUUGUACUCUGCCGUAUACCUUGGAUAUAAUUUAGAUAAGAUAAUUUAAAUAAGAUAAUUUAGUGUGUCUGUCUAUUUGAAAAGGCUCAUGUUCAAUCUCCCUACUUUUAAAGCUGAUUUUUUCCCAGUGAAUAUGAAACUUAAUGAAGAAUAGUCUUGUGAACUGCAUCUUUAGAGGAAUGACUGGUUAGGAGCAUCAAAACACUGAACACUUACAUGGGCUCUGGAGAAGAUCAAUGCAGCUGGAAUUGAAUACAAGAAAACAUGGUUGUUUCGGAGAGGGCAACAGUUCAUGUGAGAAGCUGCCAGAAGCUUCCUCCAUGUCCAACAGAGCCAGUGCCAGCCAGCUCCAGAACUGACAUGCCACUGGUCAAGGCUGGGCCAAUUAGAAAUGAUGAAAAUCCCUCUGUGAUAACGUUUAACAAGGAUAAAAACAAAAAAAAAAGUUAUUGCACAGAUAUAAUUGUGGCCAAAGAUGAGUGGGAUGGAAAUGUAUGAGAGGAGCAACUGUGCAGACACCAUGGUCAGAGGAGAAGGUGGGGCAGGAGGUGCUCCAGGCACCACAGCUGAAGUUCCUCUGCAGCCCUUGGUGAAAAGCAUGAUGAAGCAGCUGUGCCUCUACAACCCGUGGAAGGACACAGGGAUCCAGAUAUCCACCUGCAGUACCUAGAGGAGCCCCAUGGUAGAGCAGGUGGAGGCCUGAGACAAGGCUGUGAUCCUGUGGGAGGCCCCUGCUGGAGCAGGCUUCUGGCAGGGACCUGCAGACCCAUAGAGAGAGGAGCCCAUGAUGGGACAGGUUUCCUGGUAGGAUUUGUGACCCUUUGGGGAACCCACCCAAGAGCAGUUUGUGCCUGAAGGACUGCACCUCAUUGAAGAGUGACCCCCACUGGAGCAGUUUGUGAACUGUUGCCCAUGGGAUGGACUCGCACUGGAGAAAUUCUUGGAGAACUGUCUCCUAUAGAAGGCACCCCACAUGGAGGAAGGUGAACCUAUGUGGAACUGACAACCUCCAUUACCUGUCUCCUUGCUCUGUGGGGGAAAGGACUUAGAGACUGGGAAGGAGGGAGGACUGGGGAGAAGGUGUUUUUAAGGUGUAUUUUACUUUUCAUUAUCCUGCUCUCAUUUUGUUUGUAAUAAGUUCCAUGAAUAUCCCCAAUUUGAAGCUGUUCUGCCUGUGAAGGUAUUUAGGCAAUGAACUCUUCUUAGCUCACCUCAUGAACCCUCCGUUACAUUUUCUCUUCCCUGCAGUUGCAGAGGCAAGUGACUGAGAGGUUUUGGUGGGUGCCUGGUGUCCAGCCAGGGUCAACCCACUAAUUAAAAAUACACAUUUGACAGGGGUUUAUGUGAGUGUGUCUGUGGUGGUUGUUAUCUUUUCUGUGCCCUUUUUGAGACAAAAUGUUCAUCUGCCAUAUUACAAGUCCCAUCCUCCUGUGACUUCCUUCACAUUCAAAGUGAAAUGUACAAAUUCCCGGGAUUUGGGACAGAGGAACAGAAAGACUUUCCUUUUCUGGUAAAUUGUGCUUGGUGUGAGAAGAAAUCCUUAAUUAAUAUUUUAUGCAGUAGCUAAAUUCCCUCCCUGAUGUGUUUUAGAUAAUUAAGUGCUGCCUAUAAUGUAAACUAUGGGAUUAGACAGCAGGUGUAUGCUUCAGGUAGCCAUAAACGCUUUCAGAAGACUUUGAAAUAUCAAUAUCAGUUAAAAGGUCUUAGUGGGAAGAUACAGUGCCUUUGUUCACAGAAUGAUAUCAAGUUAUCAUUCAGCUGUGACAAAAAGAUAGUUAACUGGAUGCUCCAAGAACAUGCAUCCUCUUCUGAAGUCCACGUGUACUGAAAUUAUCCUGUGCUGCUUUCAGGACAGGUUUUGUCAGACUCCCCGUUUCCUACAUGCAUGACAUACCUGCCAAGGAUGCUGCUUGAGGCAAAACCAUUCUGCAUUUGGGUUUUUCAUCUCUUCCUCUAGCAAGGCUUUCCUAAAUUUCUUAUGAUUUUUGUUGACCCUACUCUUUUCAUGUUAUUAUUUUCUUCCUUACUUUCCAUACUUCUAAGGAAAUACUUUAGCAGUUCAACCACCUGAAUAAUUGCUAAGAGAAUGAGUGGUUAUUGCAUGUUAAACAUCCAGAUGAAAUGAGUUAGCAACAGGCAUUGUCCAAUGGAAGAGAUUUAAAAUUUGUGAAAUUAUUUAAUUUAAAGAAAUUAUAAUUUUAAAAAUUUAAAAGUAAUCUGGUAACAUAAAAUAAAUCAUAAAAUAUGGUACAUCUUUAUUUUUUUCCCAGCAUAUAAUGUGCAUAAUAGUUUUGACAGUUAUCAAAUUGCUAUUUUAUAGCUUUUUAAGGAAUAUACAUAUACAAAUAUAUAUAUUAAUUAUUUCCAAGAGCUAGGAAAUGUUUACAGUGGAUUUAAAUGCAAUAUUUCACAUGAGCAAUUCUUUCCUUUUUACCUGUGAUGCUCAUAGAAAAAGGUAUGUUCCACUCUGGUCUAUCUUUCUGCUGACUUAGCUUCAAGAAUGCACAUUUUAGUGACAACAGCAUCAGCAGAACGGA
Molecule: long non-coding RNA, 2540 nt
Organism: Taeniopygia guttata (zebra finch)
Lineage: Eukaryota; Metazoa; Chordata; Aves; Passeriformes; Estrildidae
Source: Ensembl